Molecule: long non-coding RNA, 1323 nt
Filed under: Felis catus (domestic cat)
Lineage: Eukaryota; Metazoa; Chordata; Mammalia; Carnivora; Felidae
Description: lncRNA (ENSFCAG00000047595.1)
Source: RNAcentral
GGGGUGUGGCAGCCUUCCUGCCUCUGCACCAGCUCCUGCCCCUGAGGGAAGAUUCCUCCUCAGCCGCUGCUCAGGCGUCACUUCCUCCGGACCCUUCCGGGCUGGGAGGGCAAGGUCAGGCCCGACACUCUUGCUCAGCGCCUGAGGGCUUCCUCUCCUGUAACCUGUUCCCUACUCACUCCCACUGUUCUCCGGGCUUUACCUGGCGCUGAGUAGGUGCACUAUGUGUGAACGAGCCCUGCAGGGGCCCUGCAUCAGGGAGACACCUGCCUCCCCACUGCAGGUGCCCAUGGCCCCAGGAAGGUGUCUCCUCCUUCUCCACGCAUUUCAUGUGCAGGAUGACUGCGUCACUGACAAGCUGCGUCCUCUAGAACAUCCACAUCCUGAGGACGGGGAUCUCUGCCUGUUCCCUGAACUGUUGUGUCCCCUGCAGGGCCUGGCCCAUAGCAGGUGCUUAAUUAGUAUCUGCAGAAGAAAGGACGGAAGGAAGGGAGAGAGAGAGGGAGGAAGGAGGAAGGAAGGAAGGAAGGAGGGAGGGAGGGAGGGAGGGAGGGAAGGAGGAAGGAGGAAGGAAGGAAGGGAGAGAGAGAGGAGAGAGAGAGGAGGAAAGGAGGGAGGGAGGGAGGGAAGCAGGGAGGGAGGGAGGGAAGGAGGAAGGAAGGAAGGAAGGAAGGAAGGAAGGAGGGGAGGGAGAGAGAGAGGGAGGAAAGGAGGGAGGGAGGGAGGGAAGGAGGAAGGAAGGAUGAAGGAAGGAAGGAAGGAAGGAAGGAAGGGAGAGAGAGAGGAGGAAAGGAGGGAGGGAGGGAGGGAAGCAGGGAGGGAGGGAGGGAAGGAGGAAGGAAGGAAGGAAGGAAGGGAGGGAGAGAGAGAGGGAGGAAAGGAGGGAGGGAGGGAAGCAGGGAGGGAGGGAGGGAAGGAGGAAGGAGGAAGGAAGGAAGGAGGGAGGGAAGAGAGGGAGAGAAGGAGGGAGGAUUCACGUAUCUUGCUUUUCAUUUGUUCAUUCGGCAAAUGCUCAUUGAGUGCCACCUGCUCACUAGUCUGGGGACAGAGCAUGACCAACACAGACACGAUUCCUGCCCUCCAGGCGCUUUCUGGUCACUGCAAACAGUUGUGAUGUCGGGUGGUAAAAAGCGCUAUGGGCAAAGGGAAAGCCGGAGGGGCAGCAGGGAGGGUGUCUGGGCUACUCCGCGGGCUGCCCGGAGGAGGCGGCAGCCGGCAGAGGCAGACGCGGGCCCUGAGUCCCUGCCCCCAGCGGGCAGACGUGGGGCUGUCGUAACUGUGGGCAGCCAGGGUUGCCAAAUGUCACCACAGCCGCGUCACUGA